Molecule: long non-coding RNA, 1251 nt
Filed under: Lynx pardinus (Iberian lynx)
Lineage: Eukaryota; Metazoa; Chordata; Mammalia; Carnivora; Felidae
Source: RNAcentral
GCGUCGGGAUCCAAAGUGGUGGAAAAAGCGUCGGUAGUAGACCUUUCGGCACUAAAAGCCCCCCAGAAAAAAGCGUGCAAGGGGACAUUGUUGUGUGGAGAGGGUGCGUAAGUUUCGUUAGUUGUUCCAGGUCUGUUACCUUAAAAACCUUUUCUUGUAGGUGAAAAAAUUUGAAGGGGGUGGUGUUUGCACACUGAACAGCAGGCCCGAUGACUGUGAUUAGAAGUCCCAGGUUAAUAGGUUUCUGACCCCAGUGCCCUAAUCUGCCUUGGCUUUUCCUGGGUGCCACCCACGUGCUCUUACAAAAGGUCUUGUCUAGAUUGAAUACAGGAGCUGUGGGCUUUCUGGAGUCCUUCAGCAAUGCAGACAUUGGACAGCCUUCUGCGCCUUUUAAGGAUGCCCGUAUUAUUUUUUGUUUGGUGUCUUGCUUGUUUGCACAUUUAACAAAAACCUACGGUGGGUGGUAAGAAAAUGAAGACUGUCAGAACUGGUGGACAACUCAUCUUCAACUCCAGUCCCUAAAAGUGGAGUGCAAAAGGAAUUAACUCUAGCCCAAGACGUGGUGAAGAGUCGGAUGCUUAUUUCCUAGUUAUUCUUGAGGACGAAAUGGCAGACUGCAGAGUUCCCAGAUGUUACGGAUGACAUCUCCUCAUCAUUACAGGUGAACUUGACAGUUCCACAGCAACUCACAUGGUUGAAGAUCACUUCCUUUUUCUUUUUUUUUUUUUUUUAAUUUUUUUUUUCAACGUUUAUUUAUUUUUGGGACAGAGAGAGACAGAGCAUGAACGGGGGAGGGGCAGAGAGAGAGGGAGACACAGAAUCGGAAACAGGCUCCAGGCUCUGAGCCAUCAGCCCAGAGCCUGACGCGGGGCUCGAACUCACGGACCGCGAGAUCGUGACCUGGCUGAAGUCGGACGCUUAACCGACUGCGCCACCCAGGCGCCCCCUCACUUCCUUUUUCUUACUUAAACCCUUGGAUCUCUUAGCUUCUGGGAUUCUGCAUUACUUAUUUUAGAUCCUCACCCACUCUAGUUUCCUCUCUAGAUGAUGACAUGUAAAGCUUGUCUUUAUUUUUUUUCUUUCCAGGUUCCCGAGAAUGUGAGUCCUAAGUCUGCACCUUUCGUCAAGAGUUCUAGGUUCACAUUUUCAGCUGCUUGUGGGUUGUUGGAUAUUUCUACAUGCAUGUCUUAUUGUCAGUUCUGACUCAGAAGCUCCAAAAACUUCUCCAAUAAACCUUUUUUUCCUAACGUG